Parelaphostrongylus tenuis is the source of this 67-nucleotide non-coding RNA. The record is from the annotation of a GenBank genome assembly. Lineage: Eukaryota; Metazoa; Nematoda; Chromadorea; Rhabditida; Metastrongylidae.
GCCUGGGUGGUGCAGUGGUAGAGCACGCGUGUAAGACUAAAAGCGGGCUCGACUCCUGCCUGAGGCC